Molecule: long non-coding RNA, 1737 nt
Organism: Cyprinus carpio (common carp)
Lineage: Eukaryota; Metazoa; Chordata; Actinopteri; Cypriniformes; Cyprinidae
Source: Ensembl
AUGGUUGUAGCAGCCAAAGAUUGUUCUAUAGUCAAGGAUGUUGGAAGUGUGGCCAAAGUUACUGGAAGGGUUGUUGUGGUUUCAGCCAUAGUAGAUGUUGGAUUGUUUGUUGUUGUGGAAACCAAAGUUUUAGUUGCCUCAACAAUAAUACCAUUUGUUAGAAGUGCUGAUGUUUUUUCAGGCAUAGUUGUAGUUGGUGUAUCGGUUGUUGAUGUUGGAGCUAGAGUGGAGAAUGUUGAAAGGGUACUUCUGGUAGCCAAAGUUGUUGUUGUUGCACCAAUCAUUGUUGGAAGUACCACUGUUAUUUCAGGAAUAGCUGUGGUUGCUGAAUCAGUUGUCAACAAUUGUGCUACAGUUGAGGAUGUUGGAGGAGUGCUUGUGUUAACCAAAUUUGCUGUUGUUGCACCAAUAUUUGUUGUUGUGUCAGCCAUAGUUGUGGUUGUCAAAGUUGUUGCUGUUGCACCAAUACUUGUUGUGGUGUCAGCCAUAGUUUUGGCUGCCACAUCAGAUGUUGACGUUGGUGGUAUAACUGAUGAUAUUGGCGGGGUGCUUGUGUUGGCAAAAUUUGUUGUUGCACCAGUAAUUGUUGUGGUGUCAGCCAUAGUUGUGAUUGCUGCAUCAGCUGUCAACAUUGGUUCUACAAGUGAAGAUGUUGCAAGGGUGCUUGUGUUAACCAAAGUUGUUGGUGUUGCACUAAUAGGCUUUGCUGGAAGGACUGUUGUCGUUCCAAGCAUAGUAGUGGUUGUUGCAUCAGAUUUUGAGAACUGUGCUACAGUUGAGGAUGUUGGAGGAGUGCUUGUGGGAGUCAAAGUUGAUGUUUUUGAAUCAAUAUUUGUUGUGGUGUCAGCCAUAGUUGUGGAAGCAGCAUCAGAUGCUGACAUUGGUGCUAGAACAGAUAAUGUAGACAAAGCUGUUGUUGCACCAACAGUUGUUGCUGGAUGGACUUUUUUUGUUUCAGGAAUAGUUGUGACUGCCGCACCAGUAGUCAAAGUUGGUGCAAAAGAUGAGGAUGCUGGAGGAGCACUUGUAAUAGUCAAAGUUGUUGUUGUUGCACCAAUAGUUGUUUUUGAAAAUACCAUUGAUGUUUCAGGCAAAGUUCUGAUUGUUGCAUCAGAUGUCAUUGUUGGUGCUAGAACAGAUUUUGUUGUUGCACCAAAAGUUUUUGUUGGAAGAACUGUUUCUGUUUCAGCCAUAGUUGCGUUUGCUGCAUCAGUUGUCAAUGUUGGUGCUACAGAUGAGGACACUGGAGGGGUACUUUUGGCAGCCAAAGCUGUUGCACUAAUAGUUGUUUUGGAAAGUACUGUUGUUGUUUUAGGUGAAGUUGUGGUUGCUGCAUCAGUUGUUGAUUUUGGUGCUAUAUUUGAGGAUGUUGAAGGGAUGGUUGUGUCAGUCAACUUUUGUGCUAUAGAUAAGGAUGUUGGAGAUGUGGCCAAAGUUGUUAUUGUCUCGCCAGUAGCUGUAUUUGGAAGAUAUGUUGUGGUUUCAGCCACAGUAAUUGUUGUAGGAUUGUUUGUUGUUGUGGAAACCAAAGUUGUUGUUGUCUCAACAAUAGUAGCAUUUGUUGGAAACACUGUUGUUAUUUCAGACAUAGUUGUGACUGCUGCAUCAAUAUUAUUUGUUGUUGUUGUUGUUGUAUUUGCACCAGUAGUUGUUGUAUGUUCAGGCAAAGUUGUGGUUGCUACAUUAGAUGAGGACUCUAGAGGGGUGCUAGUGAUAGCCAAGGUUGUUGUUUCAUGA